AAAAGACCUCCCUGUGUCAUCUGAAAAGUGCUGCUUCCUGCCUCAGAUGUUUCUUCCACCUUGUGUUAACUAUGGAAACUGUGGAUUAGUUGUCCGCUACCAAGACCCUCGAGUACAAAUGUCAUCACGGGGCAUGUAUGAUCAGCAGCAGCACCCUCCGGAUUAUCAAUGGUAUGUUCCGGACCAGUUUCCGCCAGAUGUGCAGCACAAGGCAAAUGAUACUUCCUCAGAGAAAGAAGUCCAUCACUGAAAGCAUAUGAACUAGAGAAGUGCAGAUGAAUUACACAUGCUUCCAUACUGUGAAAGACUGGGAGCUAGCCUGAUGUUUCCUCGUAACUUUUUUGUUCUUUGUUUUUUGCGUAUAGCUCCUUAUGUCUCCAGUGCAUGUUACUUGUACCUGGUGAAAUCCCAGUGGGGGUGGUGAUGAUGAUGGAGACACAGAUAAAUCCUUCACAGAUGUGAUCUUCAAGAACUGGUUAAAUUAUCUGGGGAAACACCACUCCUUUCCCUUCCUUUUGUGGAAGAUGCUGCCCAUACUAGCUACAUGGAUCUAUAGAAACAUUUUAUGAUACAACAUUUAACUACUGCUGGAUAUUAAGAGGAUGUUGCAUCUGAUUUGAAUAUAAAAUGUUUAAGCACAUUAAUAUUGUGAUCUUGUGUAAGAAUCACAAUCCAUUUUAUUUAAUUUCUGAAAAUUAUUUGUUGUGCCAUUUUGAAUUCUGCACUCAUUUCUCUUCAUAUAUAUUUAUGGAAUGGUAGCUCUUCAGAGAAGCAGCUGUCUACUACUCUAUGUUUGUACUGUGCCUAGUAUAAAUGAGCCCCG
RNAcentral lists this long non-coding RNA (823 nucleotides) under Gopherus agassizii (Agassiz's desert tortoise). RNAcentral's name for it is "lncRNA (ENSGAGG00000020370.1)". The record is from RNAcentral. Lineage: Eukaryota; Metazoa; Chordata; Testudines; Testudinidae.